This 269-nucleotide unclassified non-coding RNA is filed under the name plant metagenome. Its description in RNAcentral is "partial contains small subunit ribosomal RNA, internal transcribed spacer 1, and 5.8S ribosomal RNA". The record is from RNAcentral.
UUUCCGUAGGUGAACCUGCGGAAGGAUCAUUAAUGAGUUGUCAUGGGGUUCGAUGCUGGCAGCCAAUUUUUGGAUGCAUGUGCUUGCCCUAACAAUCAUCUUCCAAACACCUGUGCACAUUUUUGAGGGAGUCUUGAGUUGGUUGCCGCUCUUGGGUGAUUUUCUCACAUUCCCUUAAAUCAUUAUACGCUAUUGACAAUGUUGAACGUGCUCUGUGCCGCAAGGCCAUUAAUAUAAUACAACUUUUAACAACGGAUCUCUUGGCUCUC